GCUAUCACUCCUACGGGAGGCAGCAGUGGGGAAUAUUGCACAAUGGGGGAAACCCUGAUGCAGCCAUGCCGCGUGUGUGAAGAAGGCCUUCGGGUUGUAAAGCACUUUCAGUAGGGAGGAAGGUAGUGUAGUUAACACCUGCAUUAUUUGACGUUACCUACAGAAGAAGCACCGGCUAACUCCGUGCCAGCAGCCGCGGUAAUACGGAGGGUGCGAGCGUUAAUCGGAAUUACUGGGCGUAAAGCGCAUGCAGGCGGCCUGUUAAGUCAGAUGUGAAAGCCCGGGGCUUAACCUCGGAAUUGCAUUUGAAACUGGCAGGCUAGAGUCUUGUAGAGGGGGUAGAAUUUCAGGUGUAGCGGUGAAAUGCGUAGAGAUCUGAAGGAAUACCAGUGGCGAAGGCGGCCCCCUGGACAAAGACUGACGCUCAGAUGCGAAAGCGUGGGGAGCAAACAGGAUUAGAUACCCUGGUAG
Molecule: ribosomal RNA, 471 nt
Filed under: uncultured bacterium
Lineage: Bacteria
Description: bacterial SSU rRNA
Rfam family: Bacterial small subunit ribosomal RNA
Source: RNAcentral